AACCAUACAGGCGUGGGGUGAAACCAAACCACGCCUGUAUAAACAAAAAUGGCGUCUCAAAAAUGGAUUUCCAGACCUGAAAAACCGCCAGAAAAAUGGGCAACAAUAGAUAGAUCAAAUGCUAUAGAAGCCUGGGGCAGAAUGAGGGAGACGACCAAUCAGCACUUUAAGUUCACACCAAGAACCACUGCUUAUUGUGUGAUAUGGGCAUUACUAGUACCAAUAGGAAUAUGGAAGAUCAUAAAGUGGGAGAGACAAUAUAAAGACAGAGCAAAAGGUCGUCCUCCAAAAGAUUUGUUCUGAGCUUUGUUCUGAGCUUGGUUCUGAGGACGACACAACUAGACAAACUUUACAAUUAAACAGUCAAACACAUAUUGAUAGAGUUUAGUGUAUUACAUUAUAAUUUAAUGAUAUUGUUAAACUAGUUUUUGAAGUGAUGACCAGCGCAUUAGAAAA
This is a long non-coding RNA of Amphimedon queenslandica, 456 nucleotides long. RefSeq lists it as uncharacterized. NCBI's taxonomy places the organism in Eukaryota, Metazoa, Porifera, Demospongiae, Haplosclerida, Niphatidae. The transcript is spliced from 2 exons. The record is from RefSeq and is a predicted model, not a curated record.